Molecule: ribosomal RNA, 368 nt
Filed under: Phelsuma v-nigra comoraegrandensis
Lineage: Eukaryota; Metazoa; Chordata; Lepidosauria; Squamata; Gekkonidae
Description: partial 12S ribosomal RNA
Rfam family: Bacterial small subunit ribosomal RNA
Source: RNAcentral
CCCACUAAUUUGCUCGCCAGAAAAUUACAAGCGAAAGCACAAAAUUCAAAGGACUUGACGGUGUUCCACAUCAACCUAGAGGAGCCUGUCCAGUAAUCGAUAACCCACGUUUUACCUCACCCACUCUUGCCAAGUCAGCCUGUAUACCGCCGUCGCCAGCCCAUCUAAUGAUAGAAUCAAAAUGGACAAAAUUGCCCAAUCACAAAAACGUCAGGUCAAGGUGCAGCUAAUGAAUGGGUUGAGAUGGGCUACAUUUUUAAAAUUUAAAAACUACCACAAGAAACAUGAAACAUGAACUAUAAAGGUGGAUUUAGCAGUAAACCCGUGCAAGAUAUGCCACAUUGAAACUCGUUCUGGAACGCGUACAC